RNAcentral lists this ribosomal RNA (1198 nucleotides) under uncultured marine diplonemid. Its description in RNAcentral is "bacterial SSU rRNA". It matches the Rfam family "Eukaryotic small subunit ribosomal RNA", at positions 570 to 1574 of the family's 1831-position model. The record is from RNAcentral. Lineage: Eukaryota; Euglenozoa; Diplonemea.
GCACCCGCGGUAAUUCCAGCACCAAUAGCGUAUAUUAAUGCUGCUGCUGUUAAAAAGCUCGUAGUUGGAUCAAGAGUUCGACAGUGCAAGGUGGCCUCGUUUGUACCAAUGGCUCCGGUCACUGGUACGGCGGCGGAUCAACCCCUUGCGCCAAACUGUCGUCUCUAACAGACCGAAACGGUUCCCUGCGAGUAGGCCACUUUAUUGGGGCUGAAAACACCUACGCAUCUACCAUAUGCUUACGGGACGUCGGUCAAAGUUACUGUGAACAAACCAGCGUGUCCAAAACAGGCUUCGCCUGAAUGUUCGAGCAUGGAAUAACAAGGGAUCGAUUCUCUCGGUUCUUUUUGUUGGUUUUUAACCCGAGAAGAAGUAAUUCAGGCCACGGUGUCUGGGCUGGGUUCCCCUUCACCUCGGUGGAGGCCCCAGUUAGGCCGUGUCCUUACGGGAUAAAUAGGGACUGACGGGGUCGUACGUACUUCCACGUCAGAGGUGAAAUUCUUAGAUCGUGGGAAGACGAACUUCUGCGAAAGCAUUCGACAAGAAUGUCUUCAUUAAUCAAGAACGAGAGUGUGGGGAUCGAAGAUGAUCAGAUACCGUCGUAGUCCACUACUGUAAACAAUGCCGUCUCAGGAUUGAGAAGUGAACAUAAUGACUUUCACAGCACUAACCCCUGAAACGAGAAAUCAAAGAUUAUGGGUUCAGGGGGGAGUACAUUCGCAAGGCUGAAACUUAAAGGAAUUGACGGAAUGACACCACAAGGCGUGGAGUAUGCGGCUUAAUUUGACUCAACACGGGGAAUUUUACUAGGUCAGGACAAUGUAAGGAUUGACAGAUUGAGAGCUCUUUCUCGAUCCAUUGUGUGGUGGUGCAUGGCCGCUCCUGGUUGGUGGAGUGAUUUGUCUGGUUGAUUCCGUUAACGAACGAGAUCUCGACCCUUAAAUAGGUGCCCGUGUCGAUUGUAGUUUCGCCUCUGCCUGCUUGCAGGAUCUGAGCGGGACGAGACUGCGGGAUUACUUCUUAAGGGGACUGUGUGCGUCUCUAGCACGCGUAAGAGCGAGCCAAUAGCAGGUCUGUGAUGCUCCUAAAUGUCCUAGGCUGCACGCGCACUACACUGAUGCAAUAAACGAGUCUGAGUGCCUUCUGGCAACCUACCUGGAAGCGGGUGGGAAAUCUUUUGAACUUGCAUCGUGAUGAG